GAACGCACAUUGCGCCCAUCGGCAUCCCGGUGGGCAUGCCUGUUCGAGCGUCAUGUCAACCCCUGGGCCCUGCCCAGCGUUGGGGAUCUACCGGCCCGCGUAGUCCCUCAAAUCCCGCGGCGGGCGCGUGCGAGUUCCCCCGGGCGCAGUAGAAUCACGUUCUCGCCCCUGCGGGCGCCGCGGUCCCGGCCGUCCAGCACGCUUCUUUCUAGUGGUUGACCUCGGAUCAGGUAGGGGUACCCGCUGAACUUAAG
RNAcentral lists this unclassified non-coding RNA (254 nucleotides) under uncultured fungus. RNAcentral describes it as "sequence contains 5.8S rRNA gene". Lineage: Eukaryota; Fungi. The record is from RNAcentral.